UAUGAAGUUAAUGAACUUAUAUAGAGAGUUUGCAUUUGAUUUGAUUUGAUACUUCAAAUUUCAAAAUUUUGGUACCGAGGCAGUAUAAAAUUUACAAAUAACGCUCUUUAUACGUCUUCUAGAUCAAGAGUAACGAGGGUUUAGUAUCAUUUUACUGAAUUUUCCUUCAUCUUAGUUUGAAAAACAGCUCAAACUGGUGUAGGUAUUCUGGCUUUUUAUUGUAUGGUAUUUAUAGCCAGAAAUAAAUGGAGCCUUUUUACGUGUUUCAUCCCGUAAUCGUAUUUUCAAGGUGUCCCAGUAGAAGCGGGAUUUCAUAGGUACUUUCGAUAAUACGAUAAUAAGGAUUAGGCUAAAUGGGACAACUGUGCAGUUUUCAGUGCGGUUUAGAAGAAAACAAGAAGAGUAAGGUGCAUUACCUUUGUUGGCUGACCUACCAAAAAAAGGUCGUGUUCAUGGUCGCGUACCUACUUGCAAACGGUUCUUUUAGUUAGCUACUUACCUACUUCGAACAGAUGCAAAUUAAAGCCAUCUAUCAUGUGCAUUAGCCGUCGACGCGAAGUCCACCAAAAAGCUUAUAGGUAUUUAAUAUAAUGAGACUUAAUGUCUGUAUGUAUAUCGGUAUUAGGGUUACGACAUAGAUAUUAUAUAUGAUAUCUGUAAUGUCGCCCACUAAUUCUGAAAAUAAAAAACAUACAAAAUUCUUUUCAUUGGCAUACCGAUCCAUAGGUAGAUCGUUUUGUAAACUGAAAUUUCGUUUCCGUGUUUCGAUUACAAAUUGCUACCGUCAUUGUAGGUAGUUACGCUUUAUUUUCAGUACAGGAACGAAAGGGGAGGUGAAUGUACACAUUAGGGUAAAUAAUUUGAGGCGUGGUCACAUAAACAAUAAUUACUAAUUUUCAGACAUAACUGUUAAUUUGACGCCACGACGCUCACCUAAUAAGGAGUCCAAGAUAUUGAAGCUCAGUUCUAUCGUGCGCAUCCUGAAUUUAGAGAUUUAACUAUCCCACUACUCGUCCAAAAUCUAUAUAAAGCGCCCAAUAUAUAGGCUAUUCAUGUCCAGAUUGG
Molecule: long non-coding RNA, 1065 nt
Organism: Photinus pyralis (common eastern firefly)
Lineage: Eukaryota; Metazoa; Arthropoda; Insecta; Coleoptera; Lampyridae
Exons: 3
Source: RefSeq, a predicted model, not a curated record